UACCAGCACCCCGAGUGGUCGGGACGUUUAUUGGGCCUAAAGCAUCCGUAGCCGGUUCUACAAGUCUUCCGUUAAAUCCAGCUGCUUAACAGAUGGGCUGCGGAAGAUACUAUGGAGCUAGGAGGCGGGAGAGGCAAGCGGUACUCGAUGGGUAGGGGUAAAAUCCGUUGAUCCAUUGAAGACCACAGUGGCGAAGGCGGCUUGCCAGAACGCGCUCGACGGUGAGGGAUGAAAGCUGGGGG
This 242-nucleotide ribosomal RNA is filed under the name uncultured bacterium. Its description in RNAcentral is "partial 16S ribosomal RNA". It matches the Rfam family "Archaeal small subunit ribosomal RNA", at positions 474 to 717 of the family's 1478-position model. The record is from RNAcentral.